This 468-nucleotide ribosomal RNA is filed under the name uncultured bacterium. RNAcentral describes it as "partial 16S ribosomal RNA". It matches the Rfam family "Bacterial small subunit ribosomal RNA", at positions 28 to 507 of the family's 1533-position model. The record is from RNAcentral.
GAUGAACGCUGGCGGCGUGCUUAACACAUGCAAGUCGAACGGAAAGGCCCAAGCUUGCUUGGGUACUCGAGUGGCGAACGGGUGAGUAACACGUGGGUGAUCUGCCCUGCACUUCGGGAUAAGCCUGGGAAACUGGGUCUAAUACUGGAUAGGACCACUUCUUGGAUGGUGUGGUGGAAAGUUUUUUCGGUGUGGGAUGAGCUCGCGGCCUAUCAGCUUGUUGGUGGGGUAAUGGCCUACCAAGGCGUCGACGGGUAGCCGGCCUGAGGGGGUGUACGGCCACAUUGGGACUGAGAUACGGCACAGACUCCUACGGGAGGCAGCAGUGGGGAAUAUUGCACAAUGGGCGCAAGCCUGAUGCAGCGACGCCGCGUGGGGGAUGACGGCCUUCGGGUUGUAAACUCCUUUCGCUAGGGACGAAGCGUUUUUGUGACGGUACCUGGAGAAGAAGCACCGGCUAACUACGUG